Molecule: transfer RNA, 71 nt
Filed under: Hordeum vulgare
Lineage: Eukaryota; Viridiplantae; Streptophyta; Magnoliopsida; Poales; Poaceae
Description: tRNA-OTHER
Source: RNAcentral
GGCGCCGUAGUGUAGUGGUGCGAGCGCAGCGCCCAACCAGGGGGUCGUGGGUUCGAAUCCCCCUGGCCCCC